GACGAACGCUGGCGGCGUGCUUAACACAUGCAAGUCGAACGGAAAGGCCCUGCUUUUGUGGGGUGCUCGAUUGGCGCACGGGUGAGUAACACGUGAGUAACCUGCCCUUGACUUUGGGAUAACUUCAGGAAACUGGGGCUAAUACCGGAUAGGAUCUCCUGCUGCAUGUUGGGGGUUGGAAAGUUUCGGCUGUUGGGGAUGGACUCGCGGCUUAUCAGCUUGUUGGUGUGGUAGUGGCUUACCAAGGCUUUGACGGGUAGCCGGCCUGAGAGGGUGACCGGCGACAUGGGGACUGAGAUACGGACCAGACUCCUACGGGAGGCAGCAGUGGGGAAUAUUGCACAAUGGGCGGAAGCCUGAUGCAGCAACGCCGCGUGCGGGAUGACGGCCUUCGGGUUGUAAACCGCUUUCGCCUGUGACGAAGCGUGAGUGACGGUAAUGGGUAAAGAAGCACCGGCUAACUACGUG
This 468-nucleotide ribosomal RNA is filed under the name uncultured bacterium. Its description in RNAcentral is "partial 16S ribosomal RNA". It matches the Rfam family "Bacterial small subunit ribosomal RNA", at positions 28 to 507 of the family's 1533-position model. The record is from RNAcentral.